Bombyx mori (domestic silkworm) is the source of this 1984-nucleotide long non-coding RNA. RefSeq lists it as uncharacterized. The transcript is spliced from 2 exons. NCBI's taxonomy places the organism in Eukaryota, Metazoa, Arthropoda, Insecta, Lepidoptera, Bombycidae. The record is from RefSeq and is a predicted model, not a curated record.
UAGUAAAUCUAAUAUUGUAUUGACUUUCUCAACAAUUUCCUUAGCUGUUUCGUGAUCACUUUCAAAAUCAUGAUAUUUGUAGGUUGUGUGCAAAUGAGAGUAUCCUGCAUGUUCUGAAAUAUAUAAAUUACUAAGUUAAAUAACCCAGGAAUUGAUGAAAAACUGGGAUAAGGCAGUGGGCAAGGAAGUCGAGGAAGAUAUUUAAUACAAUAAUAUGGCUCCUAUUCUAAUUAACCUUCAGCAAGUAAAAUAAUUGAUUUAUUAAUGCACGCAUUUAGAUGUGAGCUUGAAAUCCCUAUUGUUUUGUAUAAAGAUUGUUCUACAUUUCAAAUUUGGAGAAGAGGACUGGAUGGUAUUUAACGUGUGAACUUCUAACACGCCGGGAAGAUUUCUGCCAUGAUACUGUGGGGAUGGUUAAACGACAAAGGGAAGAUCUUCCACCGAGCGGGUGAUAUUGCUCGGUAGACCGACGGUCCGAAUGUUUUUGCUCGGAACUUGUAUGUAUAUAUGCGGUAUGCAGCGGCUUGGCUCUGCCCCUGGCAUUGCUGAAGUCCAUAUGACGGUAACCACUCACCACCAGGUGGGCCGUAUGCUCGCCAGCAUAAAAGGGCAAUAAAAAAAAAAAAUAUAUAUAUAUAUGCAAGCUUAUCUUGAAAAUGUCGUAAGCGAGAUUCAGGCAUCUGUCAAUUAUCUUGCGUUGUAUGAUGGCUACCCGCCUCAAUACCAUCAAUGGCAAUUUUGGUUUCAUCCUACAUUCCUUUAAUUAAACCCUUUAGUUUUUACAGUUGCAAUAGUAUACUUUCUAUUAAGUUUAUGGCUCAUCAAAACAAAGAAAUAUACUCAAGUAUCAUAGCUGCUACUUACCCAAAAUACAUGUUUAUGAGUAACUAAAGGUUCAAUUUCUAUUCUAUCUAAUGAGAUGCCAAGUUGUACAGAAGUGUUAGUUCGUACUUUCCUUAAUAAUUGCACUUUAUAUGAUUUAUACUGUGGUGCUUCUGUGGCCAUUAUAUGACACUGAAUCUUUUCUAGGUUUGCAUCUUCACUGCUUUUUUUCUCUGAAAAUUUAGUUCCAUUCAUUUUACUUAAUAACUAUACUGAGACCUACGAACUUAUAUCUCAAGGUGGGUGGCGCAUUUACGUUGUAGAUGUCUAUGGGCUUCAGUAACCACUUAACACUAGGUGGGCUGUGAGCUCGUUCAACCAUUUAAGUAAUAAAAAAAAAGUAAUCAUACUUAACUUUUUAAAGUUUAUGUAUGGUCUUAUCUAUCAAACUGUAGUUUUUUCUGUAACUGUAAGAAGUUUAUUGAAAGAUUAAUCAAUUUUAACAAAAUAAAAGAACAAUAUGCUAACCUUCAUUAACAGCCCUUAAUGCACUUAUAACAGCUUCUGAAGUUUGACUUCCACCUGUAUUGUGUCUAGAUGGAUUAUUGUGACUUUGUCCAGAGUCGGUCAUUUUGGGAAAUAAAUGAAACACAUGACCGUCAUCGGGCAUUGGGAUUGGAGGACUGUUAAAUGAUUUCUUGUUUUUUAACUCAAUAAGUCCUAAACAUGUGAAGCCAAACUUUGAGCAUGGUUCGUUGGCAUCGAGGCAUGGGAACGCCCAGUCAACUUCUCCAUCAUCUUCCGCUAUACAAAGUCCAUAUUCAUGCACAGAGCCAAGACUAAUUUCAGGAUGUUCAAUGCUGUAAUGAAAAAUAAACAUUAAAAAGUGUAAGUCAUGUGUCCUGGUAUGAAGGAUAGCUAAUGCUCAUAUAUCACGUAGGCUGGUGUCAUUCAUAUUGUUACGCCGGUAAGAGCAACGCCAUCUGUUGUCCAAUAGAAGCAACGAAUAUCAAAAGAACUUGUAAAAUCGAGAACACCCAAGAAGUACAAUGCUAUCAAUUAUCAAAUAGCGGAAACACAUAGCUGGCAAUGAAAAAAGUGAAUUACGAGUUGUAAAGUGUUCUGAGAAUGUUCUAAGUGUUAAAUACAGUUUUAAGUUGUA